GGGACUGUGGCUCAGGGGAAAAUCAUCUUCUUGGAAUGUAGAAGACCUCAGGUUCAAUCUCUAGCAUUUCCA
This 72-nucleotide transfer RNA is filed under the name Sphaerodactylus townsendi. RNAcentral describes it as "tRNA-Ser". The record is from RNAcentral. Lineage: Eukaryota; Metazoa; Chordata; Lepidosauria; Squamata; Sphaerodactylidae.